RNAcentral lists this ribosomal RNA (253 nucleotides) under uncultured bacterium. Its description in RNAcentral is "partial 16S ribosomal RNA". It matches the Rfam family "Bacterial small subunit ribosomal RNA", at positions 524 to 776 of the family's 1533-position model. The record is from RNAcentral.
UACGAAGGGGGCUAGCGUUGCUCGGAAUCACUGGGCGUAAAGCGCACGUAGGCGGAUUGUUAAGUCAGGGGUGAAAUCCUGGAGCUCAACUCCAGAACUGCCUUUGAUACUGGCGAGCUCGAGUCCGGGAGAGGUGAGUGGAACUGCGAGUGUAGAGGUGAAAUUCGUAGAUAUUCGCAAGAACACCAGUGGCGAAGGCGGCUUACUGGACAGGUAUUGACGCUGAGGUGCGAAAGCGUGGGGAGCAAACAGG